AUGGAUCUUGGGCGUCUUAACUAUGGUAUCGUGACCCUCAUCCCCAAGGUCCCGGGCGCCUCCGACAUCCGCCAGUUUCGUCCAAUCACAGUGAUUAAUGUGAUAUUCCGGAUCCUGGCCAAAGGGUACGCCAAUAGGGUGACCCUACUCGCUGACGUGAUUACCCAUCCGAACCAAUCCUCCUUCAUACAAGGCCGAUUUAUUCUGGAUGGGGUGCUGGUAUUCCACGAAGUCUUCCACGAGGUCCGGAUGAAACACCAUCGGGCGGUCUUUCUGAAGCUAGACUUCCACAAAGCGUACGACACGGUCCACUGGCCCUUUUUGCGGGAAGUGUUG
RNAcentral lists this ribosomal RNA (336 nucleotides) under Triticum aestivum (bread wheat). RNAcentral describes it as "partial small subunit ribosomal RNA". The record is from RNAcentral. Lineage: Eukaryota; Viridiplantae; Streptophyta; Magnoliopsida; Poales; Poaceae.